RNAcentral lists this ribosomal RNA (527 nucleotides) under uncultured bacterium. Its description in RNAcentral is "partial 16S ribosomal RNA". It matches the Rfam family "Bacterial small subunit ribosomal RNA", at positions 355 to 893 of the family's 1533-position model. The record is from RNAcentral.
UGGGGAAUAUUGGACAAUGGGCGCAAGCCUGAUCCAGCCAUGCCGCGUGAGUGAUGAAGGCCCUAGGGUUGUAAAGCUCUUUCACCGGUGAAGAUAAUGACGGUAACCGGAGAAGAAGCCCCGGCUAACUUCGUGCCAGCAGCCGCGGUAAUACGAAGGGGGCUAGCGUUGUUCGGAUUUACUGGGCGUAAAGCGCACGUAGGCGGACUUUUAAGUCAGGGGUGAAAUCCCGGGGCUCAACCCCGGAACUGCCUUUGAUACUGGAAGUCUUGAGUAUGGUAGAGGUGAGUGGAAUUCCGAGUGUAGAGGUGAAAAUUCGUAGAUAUUCGGAGGAACACCAGUGGCGAAGGCGGCUCACUGGACCAUUACUGACGCUGAGGUGCGAAAAGCGUGGGGGAGCAAAACGGGAUUAGAUACCCUGGUAGUCCACGCCGUAAACGAUGAAUGUUAGCCGUUGGGGAGUUUAACUCUUCGGUGGCGCAGCUAACGCAUUAAAACAUUCCGCCUGGGGAGUAACGGUCGCAAGA